AUAAACUACAAUUCAAGCCCAAGAAUAGGUCCUAACAUUUAUGCAUUACCAAACUCUAAACACCCAUGGAUAUAUAUACUAAAAGGGCAAGACCUAAACCACCAAUUUUCACUACCGUCACCACCAACUUCACCAUCACUAGCAACUUCUUUACUAAUCUUCAAGGGAAAAUGGCAGGGUAGCUUGAAAACAUCAAACAUGUGAAGGAAAAAUAGUAGUGUCAGAAGGAGAUCCAAUUCUCUUUCUGCUCAACACAUGAACACCCAAAAGAAACAGAAAAAAAUGCGGUAAACCAAAAGAAAACCUUGGAUUAGGGCCAACGCCGAACGAAUUCGGAAAAUAACAUGGCAACGAUGACUAGAUUCGAU
This 368-nucleotide unclassified non-coding RNA is filed under the name Hevea brasiliensis (rubber tree). Lineage: Eukaryota; Viridiplantae; Streptophyta; Magnoliopsida; Malpighiales; Euphorbiaceae. The record is from RNAcentral.